UACGGAGGGGGCGAGCGUUAUUCGGAAUUAUUGGGCGUAAAGGGCGCGUAGGCGGCUGAACAAGUCAAAGGUGAAAUCCCUCGGCUCAACUGAGGAACUGCCUUUGAAACUGUUCGGCUUGAGGCUGGGAGGGGGUAGCGGAAUUCCCAGUGUAGCGGUGAAAUGCGUAGAUAUUGGGAGGAACACCAGUGGCGAAGGCGGGUCUCUGGGCCGUAACUGACGCUGAGGAGCGAAAGCGUGGGGAGCGAACAGG
This 253-nucleotide ribosomal RNA is filed under the name uncultured bacterium. RNAcentral describes it as "partial 16S ribosomal RNA". It matches the Rfam family "Bacterial small subunit ribosomal RNA", at positions 524 to 776 of the family's 1533-position model. The record is from RNAcentral.